UGGACAGGUUCCAGGCAUUUUUUUCAGAAAGCUUCCAGUGUAGUGGAUACAGAAACUUCAGGAAGGCAGGGCUGAGAAGGAUCUGAGUAAAACUCGGUCCUUCAACACCAUCCUUCAGCCCCUGGGUCAUGUUCCUUCGAGGUCCUGGUGGGAGGUAGACAAGCCUAGCCUUGUGCUGUUCCUGUAAGGACAGGGUGGGCAUUUUCUACCAACAGAAUUCUUGGAAUUUUCACACAGCCCAGCCUAGCCAAGUCCAGGGCUAUAGCCCAGAUACACAAGUUAAGGUCCCAGCACUGGCACCCACCACAGGAGCCCCCUUACCUCUAUUACCCAGAAGCUUGUAGGAGGGGUGGUCCGCAGACAAGGACCCUGCACAGGUGCGACCCUGCUUCCCUCCUGGUCAUAACUUUCAUGUUACUAUUGCUUGGGAUAAUGUUAAGUAAAAAUAGCAGACACUGAGUUUUAAGUCUCAAGUGGAUGAAGGCAGAGAUCGUGAUACACUUGAGUUAAAGCAGUAGGGUUCUGUCAUUUUCUAUUCCUAGGAUAUCAGGAUGUGGGAGCACAGGUGCCACCACAGCACUAGUGAUGGAGAGUCAUUGCCCCUAGACUUCUGGGACAGUGAGACUGUGAGGAAAGCUGAAAUGAUACUGGGAAAGGGUGAAAGAAAGGAUGUAGGUGGAAUUUAUUUAGUAUUAAUGUAGGUACACAUACCUUAUGGCAACAUUCCUAGCACUCUAAAUUCUAGAUUUGUAUAGUUUCUGUCAAUAUCUUUUGUAAGCUUAAUCAAUACAGGGCAUGACAAGUAUGUGUCACAUACUUUUUUUUCCACGAAGAAAAAAAAUAAGUAGGAAUUGGGUGCUUUGUUUAUCAAAAUUUGUAUUUCCUUUAUAAAUAAACUUUGAAAUAAAGGUUGAAAAUUAGUAUCUUUUCUAGCCGAGCCACCAUUGUUUUUAAAAAUCCUCUUUGAAGCAGGUGUGUGUGUGUGUGUGUGUGUGUGUGUGUGUGACGUUUUUCAACAAAAUUUUUAAAAAUCGAAAUGUCAGGGUCAGGUGCAGUGGCUCAUGCCUCUAAUUCCAGCACUUUGGGAGGCCGAUGUGGGAGGAUUGCCUGAGCUCAGGAGUUAAAGACCUCUCAAAAAAAGAAAAAAAGAAAAACAUGUACAACAUGGAAUAGAGUUGAUAUCCAGCCAGUAUACACUUUGAGUGAUCUCAUUCACACUCAGUGUAUCUUCAGCUACCCUCAUAUGAAGUCACAGACUCACACCUGUAUUUCCAGCACUUUGGGAGGCCAAGGCAGUAGGAUCACUACAGCCUGAGUUCAGGGCUGCAGUGAUCUAUGAUUGCAGCAUUGCACUGGAGCCUGGCCAACAGAGUGAGACCCUAUCUCUUAAAAAUUAAAAAAUAAAAAUAAGUCAUUAUAAAAGUGUAAUUAUCAAGACAGUUGGUAUUGGUGCAGAAAUAGACAAAAAGCCCCAUAAAACAGAAUGCAGAACCCAAAAAGAGGCUUAUUCAUAUACAGCAACCUGAAAAUAUACAGAGGUUAUGUAACAAAUUGGGAGACUUCAGAUUCUUAUAGGAACAUGGUAGAAACCUGGUUUUUAAUCUUCCAACUUCUGUAAAAACCAUACAGAGCAACAAGGUGAAUUUAAAAACAAAAAGGCACAAACUAGUGAAACAAG
Molecule: long non-coding RNA, 1678 nt
Filed under: Homo sapiens (human)
Lineage: Eukaryota; Metazoa; Chordata; Mammalia; Primates; Hominidae
Description: non-protein coding lnc-HEXA-5:1
Source: RNAcentral